RNAcentral lists this ribosomal RNA (213 nucleotides) under uncultured organism. Its description in RNAcentral is "partial 16S ribosomal RNA". It matches the Rfam family "Bacterial small subunit ribosomal RNA", at positions 137 to 365 of the family's 1533-position model. The record is from RNAcentral.
AGGGGAACAACAGCUGGAAACGGCUGCUAAUACCCCAUAGGCUGAGGAGCAAAAGGAGGAAUCCGCCCAAGGAGGGGCUCGCGUCUGAUUAGUUAGUUGGUGAGGCAAUGGCUUACCAAGGCGACGAUCAGUAGCUGGUCCGAGAGGAUGAUCAGCCACACUGGGACUGAGACACGGCCCAGACUCCUACGGGAGGCAGCAGUGGGGAAUUUU